This 527-nucleotide ribosomal RNA is filed under the name uncultured bacterium. RNAcentral's name for it is "bacterial SSU rRNA". It matches the Rfam family "Bacterial small subunit ribosomal RNA", at positions 8 to 526 of the family's 1533-position model. The record is from RNAcentral.
AGAGUUUGAUCCUGGCUCAGAUUGAACGCUGGCGGCAGGCCUAACACAUGCAAGUCGAGCGGUAACAGGGGAAGCUUGCUUCUCGCUGACGAGCGGCGGACGGGUGAGUAAUGUAUGGGGAUCUGCCCGAUAGAGGGGGAUAACUACUGGAAACGGUAGCUAAUACCGCAUAAUCUCUAAGGAGCAAAGCAGGGGAACUUCGGUCCUUGCGCUAUCGGAUGAACCCAUAUGGGAUUAGCUAGUUGGUGAGGUAACGGCUCACCAAGACCAUGAUGCAUAGCCGACCUGAGAGGGUGAUCGGCCACACUGGGACUGAGACACGGUCCAGACUCCUACGGGAGGCAGCAGUGGGGAAUAUUGCACAAUGGGCGCAAGCCUGAUGCAGCCAUGCCGCGUGUAUGAAGAAGGCCUUCGGGUUGUAAAGUACUUUCAGCGGGGAGGAAGGCGUUGAGGUUAAUAACCUCAACGAUUGACGUUACCCGCAGAAGAAGCACCGGCUAACUACGUGCCAGCAGCCGCGGUAAUAC